GUUUGUUCCGGGAACAUAUACUAAAAUUGGAACAAUUAACAAGACGAACAAAGAGGAUUAACAUGGCCCCUGCGCAAAGAUGACACGCAAAUUAGGUUUUUUUCACAAAAUUGA
This 114-nucleotide small nuclear RNA is filed under the name Ancylostoma ceylanicum. The record is from RNAcentral. Lineage: Eukaryota; Metazoa; Nematoda; Chromadorea; Rhabditida; Ancylostomatidae.